Molecule: ribosomal RNA, 497 nt
Filed under: uncultured bacterium
Lineage: Bacteria
Description: partial 16S ribosomal RNA
Rfam family: Bacterial small subunit ribosomal RNA
Source: RNAcentral
GAUGAACGCUGGCGGCGUGCCUAAUACAUGCAAGUCGAGCGAACGGACGAGAAGCUUGCUUUUCUGAUGUUAGCGGCGGACGGGUGAGUAACACGUGGAUAACCUACCUAUAAGACUGGGAUAACUUCGGGAAACCGGAGCUAAUACCGGAUAAUAUUUUGAACCGCAUGGUUCAAAAGUGAAAGACGGUCGUGCUGUCACUUAUAGAUGGAUCCGCGCUGCAUUAGCUAGUUGGUAAGGUAACGGCUUACCAAGGCAACGAUGCAUAGCCGACCUGAGAGGGUGAUCGGCCACACUGGAACUGAGACACGGUCCAGACUCCUACGGGAGGCAGCAGUAGGGAAUCUUCCGCAAUGGGCGAAAGCCUGACGGAGCAACGCCGCGUGAGUGAUGAAGGUCUUCGGAUCGUAAAACUCUGUUAUUAGGGAAGAACAUAUGUGUAAGUAACUGUGCACAUCUUGACGGUACCUAAUCAGAAAGCCACGGCUAACUACGUG